Molecule: unclassified non-coding RNA, 202 nt
Filed under: Hevea brasiliensis (rubber tree)
Lineage: Eukaryota; Viridiplantae; Streptophyta; Magnoliopsida; Malpighiales; Euphorbiaceae
Source: RNAcentral
AUCUGACAUGUUCAGAUUAAAUUCACCAACCUCCAUGUGCACCACUGUGCCUGUAGUAGAUAUAUUAUUGGCAAAGACAUGUGAUGACUGUGAACAACCAUGAUAGAGUGGAGAGCCAUUCAAAUCAUAGAGCACUACAGUCAUUUCUGGGGCUGAAAUAGUUGAGGUCCACAUGAAUGCUUUAUGAUCAUAUGAGUGAGAU